Podarcis lilfordi (Lilford's wall lizard) is the source of this 79-nucleotide non-coding RNA. The record is from the annotation of a GenBank genome assembly. NCBI's taxonomy places the organism in Eukaryota, Metazoa, Chordata, Lepidosauria, Squamata, Lacertidae.
GUCCCUUCCAACACUACAAUUCUAUGAUGCUAUGAUUCUAGAACUCCUAGAAUCAUAGAAUCAUAGAGUUGGAAGAGAC